Long non-coding RNA from Marmota flaviventris (yellow-bellied marmot), 1609 nucleotides. RefSeq lists it as uncharacterized. NCBI's taxonomy places the organism in Eukaryota, Metazoa, Chordata, Mammalia, Rodentia, Sciuridae. The record is from RefSeq and is a predicted model, not a curated record.
GAGCCCCUGAUCCAUGAAGUUUACAUCCAAGUGCAAGGAAAUACAUAGAGAAAAAACUGAAAUGUAUACUGCAUCCAGCAAUAAUAGGGGAGAUUAGAGGGAUCAGAGCAAAAGAGGUAGGAAAUGCCUGGGGUGUGCUGGGAUGGGUCACGUGGAAAUGGAGAAGCCAUCCCUGACAAGGGUACAUUGGAGCAGAAGUCUGGAAGAAACAAAGGAAAUGGCCUUGUGGAUCCUGGGAAAGAAGAAUUCAAGCAGAGGGAAGAGCAAAUGCCUGUGCUGGAUGGGAGCUGUUGAGGAAUCCAAGGGUGUGGCCUGGAGCAGGAGGGGAGGGAUGCAGCCCAAAUAGACAGCCACUACACAGGAAAUGCCUUCCAGAGCCAUCCUGAAAGGUCUGGUUCCUUAUCUUUUAAUAGGACAGCAACUGUAGCACUUCCUUGCAACACCAUGAGAAGUACUAGGAAAGAAGAAUCACAUUUGCUCAGCAGUGCAAGGCUAGGGGAAGGAGGAGGAAGAGGCCCAGAGGCUGUCCAUGGUCCUUGGCAUGUGGCCAUGCAUCAUUCCAACCUCUGCUUCUGUCCUCAUACCUCAUUCUCAAGUUCAGAUCUUCCUACCUUUCUCCUAUGGAACCUUUUUAAUUAUCCUGGACUCACCAAGAAAGUCCAAGAUAAACUCCCCAUUUUAAAAUCCUUUCACUUAAUCACAUCUGCAAAGUCCCUUAUACCAUGUAAAUAAAGUGGCGCAUUCCUGGGUGUCAGACACUAGGAUGGGGCAUAUUUGAAGAGCUAUUGAAUGAGUAUCGUGACUUGAAUUUAUGCAGAGGUGAGCCAAACAAAGGAAAUGAUACGAGAAGAUGGGUGCUCAAUGGAGGAGCUAAGAGAAAAGCAGAGGUCCAAGGACAAAAGCCUGAGGAACAUGUUCUCCCUUGCAGUCAUUCCACAAAUGUAUACAGAGGGCUCACUGGGCCAGCAAAGGACCAGGAGCUUGAGAGAACACAAAUUCAUCAAAGCAAGUAUACUUUGGAGGAGCUCACCACCAAAAUGUGCACACAUACUAGAAGAUGAAGACAGCCAAUGAGUCACACAGGAGAGAGUCAAACAAGGUAAUUCAUGGAGGAAAAGACAGGAGUGAUGGUGGAGGGCUUUGUGAGGUGAUAGAGAAACAAGAAGGCUCACUGGGAGAGAGAAAAAGAGAUACUUGCUGGAUGGAGACCGGGAUCUAUGAGCAUGACCAGCCAUGCUUGUCUCUUUAGCUAGAUGAACAAAACCAGAUCAGAUACUUGUACUAGAUCCACUAGAACAGAAACAUAAUAAAUUUAAAUGUCACCAAAUUCAAAGACUUCCACAUUGUGCCCACAACUGGUAUAUAACUAGACUAUUCAACCAGGAAGAAGCAUUCUGAACCCCGAAUAUCAAAUGAUUAACAUAGAAUUUGAUUUUCACAAAAGCUUGCCUGGGAAGCUGUAUUAUUCUUCCCAGAAAAAUUAUAUACAAAGUCAGAGAGCUCAACUCUUGGUGUGUCAUUCCUCUUCUCUGAGAGAUGUGGGGUGUGUACACCCCGCCUUUUGGGUGUACAUUUGCUUUGCUGUGCUUUAGUAAAUCUUUUGCUUGUG